GAUGAACGCUGGCGGCGUGCUUAACACAUGCAAGUCGAACGGAAAGGCCCAAGCUUGCUUGGGUACUCGAGUGGCGAACGGGUGAGUAACACGUGGGUGACCUGCCCUGCACUUCGGGAUAAGCCUGGGAAACUGGGUCUAAUACUGGAUAGGACCACUUCUUGGAUGUUGUGGUGGAAAGUUUUUUCGGUGUGGGAUGAGCUCGCGGCCUAUCAGCUUGUUGGUGGGGUAAUGGCCUACCAAGGCGUCGACGGGUAGCCGGCCUGAGAGGGUGUACGGCCACAUUGGGGAUGGGAUACGGCCCAGACUCCUACGGGAGGCAGCAGUGGGGAAUAUUGCACAAUGGGCGCAAGCCUGAUGCAGCGACGCCGCGUGGGGGAUGACGGGCUUCGGGUUGGAAACUCCUUUCGCUAGGGACGAAGCGUUUUGUGACGGUACCUGGAGAAGAAGCACCGGCUAACUACGUG
This 467-nucleotide ribosomal RNA is filed under the name uncultured bacterium. RNAcentral's name for it is "partial 16S ribosomal RNA". It matches the Rfam family "Bacterial small subunit ribosomal RNA", at positions 28 to 507 of the family's 1533-position model. The record is from RNAcentral.